Non-coding RNA from Carica papaya (papaya), 988 nucleotides. NCBI's taxonomy places the organism in Eukaryota, Viridiplantae, Streptophyta, Magnoliopsida, Brassicales, Caricaceae. The record is from RefSeq and is a predicted model, not a curated record.
CCUUUUCUUUUUUGCUUUGCAUUGUCUGUUAUUAGAUGCAGAGCUUCUUUAUGUCUUUUUUUUUUUUUUUUUACUUUAGUGAUAAAAGAGAAUUGGACUGGUUUUGAGUCUGUUAAUGGCUUGGGCCCCAACAUCAUGUGAGAAACAUAAAGGCAAAACUCUUGGAAAGUAUCACGUGUCGGUGAUUUGCUUGCAGAUCUUAUAGUUCCCCAUUUCUUGUAGGUGGUUUAAAUGCUCCAUAACUGGCUGUAAAGUUCAUAUGAAACCCAGUUCUUUUUAGUUUUCUGUAUGAUUUAUGGUUAGAUCUUCGGAGUCAUGAAACUGAUCUGCUGUAAAAAAUCUUGAGCCCUUGUUUUGUGUUCUUUUUCCCUAAGUCUUCCUGUCUAUGUCAACUGUAGACAUUUGAGCUACUGGUAUUUGUUUUCCAUGUUUUCAGUUGAUGGUUUUGUCUUAGCAGUGCAUUUAUUGUUUUAGUUCAGAGUAAAUGGGGAUGUUUCUUUCUUUACUGAUUAAAUGUCUUCUGUUUGAAUUUUUUUGGCCACAGUAUUUAGAAAGAUCUGAUAAUAAAACUUUCGAGGGUUACAUUAGUUGAGUACUUACAAAUUUUUCUGAUACCAUGAAAUACAAAGAUGGGAGACAAAAUUCUCAACCAGAUAAAGUUUCCAGGAUUGUUUCCAUUACAAUACUUCUUGUUGUAUUAUGUGGAGUUUCUUUCUAUCUUGGUGGGGCUUUUUGUUCCGAGAAAAACAGAUUUGAGGGUAAGGAUAUCAAGGAUGUUAAAAAAGCAGUCCCAGGCCCUAAGGAAUUGAUUGUGACCCCACUUCAAAUCAAAGAAGUUGCCUUCCCAGAAUGCAGCCUUGAUUAUCAAGACUACACCCCAUGCACAGAUCCAAAGAGGUGGAAAAAGUAUGGAACUCAUCGCCUUACUUUUAUGGAACGCCAUUGUCCCCCUGUGUUUGAGAGAAAGGAGUGUUAAUCCACCCCCUGA